GAUGAACGCUGGCGGCGUGCCUAAUACAUGCAAGUCGAGCGAACGGACGAGAAGCUUGCUUCUCUGAUGUUAGCGGCGGACGGGCGAGUAACACGUGGAUAACCUACCUAUAAGACUGGGAUAACUUCGGGAAACCGGAGCUAAUACCGGAUAAUAUUUUGAACCGCAUGGUUCAAAAGUGAAAGACGGUCUUGCUGUCACUUAUAGAUGGAUCCGCGCUGCAUUAGCUAGUUGGUAAGGUAACGGCUUACCAAGGCAACAAUGCAUAGCCGACCUGAGAGGGUGAUCGGCCACACUGGAACUGAGACACGGUCCAGACUCCUACGGGAGGCAGCAGUAGGGAAUCUUCCGCAAUGGGCGAAAGCCUGACGGAGCAACGCCGCGUGAGUGAUGAAGGUCUUCGGAUCGUAAAACUCUGUUAUUAGGGAAGAACAUAUGUGUAAGUAACUGUGCACAUCUUGACGGUACCUAAUCAGAAAGCCACGGCUAACUACGUG
Molecule: ribosomal RNA, 497 nt
Filed under: uncultured bacterium
Lineage: Bacteria
Description: partial 16S ribosomal RNA
Rfam family: Bacterial small subunit ribosomal RNA
Source: RNAcentral